This 520-nucleotide ribosomal RNA is filed under the name uncultured Glomus. RNAcentral's name for it is "SSU rRNA". It matches the Rfam family "Eukaryotic small subunit ribosomal RNA", at positions 569 to 1087 of the family's 1831-position model. Lineage: Eukaryota; Fungi; Glomeromycota; Glomeromycetes; Glomerales; Glomeraceae. The record is from RNAcentral.
AGCAGCCGCGGUAAUUCCAGCUCCAAUAGCGUAUAUUAAAGUUGUUGCAGUUAAAAAGCUCGUAGUUGAAUUUCGGGAUUAGUACGCUGGUCGUGCCUUCGGUACGUACUGGUGUUACUGAUUCCUACCUUCUGACGAACCAUCAUGUCAUUAAUUUGGUGUGGUGAGGAAUCAGGACUGUUACUUUGAAAAAAUUAGAGUGUUUAAAGCAGGCUCGCGCUUAAAUACAUUAGCAUGGAAUAAUGAAAUAGGACGUUGAUCCUAUUUUGUUGGUUUUUAGGAUCAACGUAAUGAUUAAUAGGGAUAGUUGGGGGCAUUAGUAUUCAAUUGUCAGAGGUGAAAUUCUUGGAUUUAUUGAAGACUAACUACUGCGAAAGCAUUUGCCAAGGAUGUUUUCAUUAAUCAAGAACGAAAGUUAGGGGAGUCGAAGACGAUCAGAUACCGUCGUAGUCUUAACCAUAAACUAUAGCCGACUAGGGAUCGGAUGAUGUUAAUUUUUUAAUUGUACUCAUUCGGCGUC